Molecule: ribosomal RNA, 497 nt
Filed under: uncultured bacterium
Lineage: Bacteria
Description: partial 16S ribosomal RNA
Rfam family: Bacterial small subunit ribosomal RNA
Source: RNAcentral
GAUGAACGCUGGCGGCGUGCCUAAUACAUGCAAGUCGAGCGAACGGACGAGAAGCUUGCUUUUCUGAUGUUAGCGGCGGACGGGUGAGUAACACGUGGAUAACCUACCUAUAAGACUGGGAUAACUUCGGGAAACCGGAGCUAAUACCGGAUGAUAUUUUGAACCGCAUGGUUCAAAAGUGAAAGACGGUCUUGCUGUCACUUAUAGAUGGAUCCGCGCUGCAUUAGCUAGUUGGUAAGGUAACGGCUUACCAAGGCAACGAUGCAUAGCCGACCUGAGAGGGUGAUCGGCCACACUGGAACUGAGACACGGUCCAGACUCCUACGGGAGGCAGCAGUAGGGAAUCUUCCGCAAUGGGCGAAAGCCUGACGGAGCAACGCCGCGUGAGUGAUGAAGGUCUUCGGAUCGUAAAACUCUGUUAUUAGGGAAGAACAUAUGAGUAAGUAACUGUGCACAUCUUGACGGUACCUAAUCAGAAAGCCACGGCUAACUACGUG